Molecule: long non-coding RNA, 5542 nt
Organism: Mus musculus (house mouse)
Lineage: Eukaryota; Metazoa; Chordata; Mammalia; Rodentia; Muridae
Product: predicted gene, 39257
Exons: 2
Source: RefSeq, a predicted model, not a curated record
GACCUGGAGGAGCAGGACUCUUCCAUGGUCAAAUGCGAUCUGAGAUGUCUUGAAAACUGCUCUUAAGAGUGUCCUUUUACAAGAAUGGCAUGGACACAUUUACAAGGUAUGUUGUAGCCCAAUCUGAAGGAGCUCUGGUCAUGUCUUUGGAAAGUUCCCUUCCCCGGUAAAAAAAAGUAUUAACUUUUCAGGUGGUGAGUUGACUGGGAAUUCCCGUGGAAGGUAGAGAGAGAGAGACACCUGGGCAUCUCAGAGCAAGAUGACUGACCAACUAAUGUGGGGAUGUUGAACAGUGUACGAGCACUAUGGCUGUCCUGAUGAACCUCGAUCAGUAUUCUCCCACUUCUGACAAGUCUUCCUCCCCAUGAUGGAUGGCAUCCCUUUGGACUAAAAGAAACCUCCCUUCCUGGCGUCGGUCAGGUAUUACAUCACAGGGAUUAGAAAGGUAACGAAUGCACCUCAGCUCCUAAGAUCAUCCUGCCGAUUUCGGGCCUAAGUCUAAGUCAGCUUUCUGGUGGACACUGCUUUGAUAAGUGGCCCAACAUCCAUGCAUUAACUAAGCCAAAAGGUGCUCUUGGACCAAUCCCAGACUGGCUCUCCUGAGUCACGACUUCCUUGGAGUCAGCUCUUCUCCAAGCACAGAUGUAAGUGGAGACACGUCCUGGGUUUUCCCUGUGUCCUUUCUAAGCAGGGGCUGGGGCAGGACUCUGCUCACAGAGGCUUAAGCCAGGGCUGGAAGGAACAGCAGGAGAAUUUCCUUUCCUUGGCUUGGUUCUGUCACAAUAUACAUUCCUCCUAUUAAAAUACAGUGUGGUUUUUUUUUUUUUUUCCAAAUGGCAUGAUCUACUUCAACCGCCGUAUUUCAUCUGUCAUCUAGCCCCCUGCCUACCCUGAACAUUGGUCUUUUGGAACCAUUUGGGGAGAAGGGACAUGAAAAAGAAGAAGAAGAGAAAUAUAUGAUGGGGGUGUGGCUGUGAGAGGGGUGGGUGUCUAUGAAAAUUUAUGUGCUGAAAAACAGCUGUAAAAUGUUUAAUGUUUCAAUGAACGUUUUAUGUUUACAAUAAAAAAUCCUCCAGCCAAGAAGGGCUUUAAAAGUUAUAAUUCUAGACAGUGCCAAAGGAAAAAAGGCAAGGGGAACAGAUUCCACAAAGCCUUCCCCAGGGAUUGACAACCCCCACCGCAACACACACACACACACACACACACACACACACACACACACACACACACCAUUGAAUAAUAAAAGGAUCUCCCUUCACAUGAUGGAUUUAGCACCCAGCUCAAUGGUGAGGGAGACAGGGAAAACCAGUCAUAGCCCCAGGGGAGAUGACCAACAAGAGUGGAAAUUUUACUUGUUCCUUCUGAAGGCCUUGGCAAUCCAGGCUCUGGAAGGAGGGGUAGAAGGAACAGAUCAAGACACUUGGUGUAGCCGGAUGCUCGUUCAGACCUGACCAGUGAGUCAGUUCACUAACAGUGAGACUGACUGUGUGUAGUAGGCUGGUUUUGACAGCGAGACUCAGAUUCAAAUUCAAAAAUCCAUUCUAAGGGUUAUCACUGUGGCUCCGUGGGUAAAGGCCCUUGCCGCUAAAUCUAACGGCCUAAAUUCAAUCCUUGGGAUACACAAAGUGAAAGGAGGGGACUUUUUUUUAGAAGUUGUCCCCCUUCCAGCAACCCACAAACACAUGCCCUUCAGCACUAAAAUCUAACAAAUCUCUACUCUAAACUGGGUUGGACUCUUAGUGUGUUUUUUUUUGCUGGUUAUGCUGGGCAUUGAACCUGGAACUUUGAGAACACCAGCGAAGUGCUCUACCGCUGAGCUACAGUUCCAGUGUUUUUGUUUGUUGUUGGUUCCCCACCCCCACCCCCACCCCGAGACAGGGUUUCUCUGUGCAAUCCUGGCUGUCCUGGAACUCACUCUGUAGACCAGGUUGGCCUCGAACUCAGAAAUCCACCUGCCUCUGCCUCCCGAGUGCUGGGAUUAAAGGCGUGUGCCACCACACCCGGCAGCUUAUUGUUUGUUUGUUUGUUUGUUUUGAAACGAGGUCUCAGUAGGCAGCCCAGGUUGUCCUUGAACUCAUGAUCAUCCUGCCUUAGUCUCUGAUGGGAUGGCAGAUGGGCACUACCAUGCCCAUAUUUUAGUGAGUUCUUCAGUCACUUAGGAUCCAGUGUCUUCAUCAACCAAAGGCACACAGAAGAGCAAUGGGCACUACUAGCACUUAUGGGCACUACUAGCACCUAUCCACUGCUGUUCUCUCUACUCAUCACACCUCCUAGGAAUAUUUUAGGUAUUUAAAAUCUGCAAUGAACAGUGUUUCUUCUGAGCGUGUGCUGAGUGUUACCAUCUUGACAAGCCUUGUUUUGGGUACAGAGCACAGUGCAAGGAAGUUCUUUAGGAAUGAGGGAAGGCAAAAAACGUCAUUUCCAUGGUGACAGAGGACAGACCCCUGGCCUCAGAGGCUAAUGGAGCUCCCCACUUAUAUAAGGUACAUGACAGCAUUUAGUCUCUAGUGCAGAAUGGCUGUGGCCUGUGUGGUGGCUUGUAGGAGAGGGAGCCUUACAGACUCAUAGGUUUGCAUAUCUGAUCCCCAGUUGGUGGAACUGUUACGGAAGGAUCAGGAUCUAUGGCCUUAUAGGAUCUAUGGCCUUAUAGGAUCUAUGGCCUUGUACAGGGAGAUAUGUCACUGAGGGCAGGCUUGGAGGUUCCAAAACCCUGUCCAUUCCCAGUGUGGUGUCUCUGUCUCUAACUUGCAGUGAAAGAUGGACGCUCUCAGCUGUUCCUGCCGCCAUGCCUCUGAAACCAUCAGCUUAAAUGAAAUACUUUCUAAACUGUUUUGACCGUGGUAUCUUAUCACAGCGAUAGAAAAGUAAACUAAGACAUCCUGCCAACCUUCUUGCUUGAGAACUGUACCAACUGUGAAUGACCUGUUCAGAGAUGAAGCCUUAGAGACUGUCACCACCGUUCAGUGACAGUAUAAAUGUGGCUUCCGGGGGGAGAGAGGAGGCUGUCUCCUUCCCCUGAUGCAGUGCACUUCCUGCUUAUGAACCUGCAUGUGCCUGGCUCCUGGCUGGGCUGGGAACAAUCGGGGGCAGGGAAACGAUGUUCAUGAGAGACUCUGAGGAAGCUCCACAUGCUAACUCCAUUUUUUCCCUCUCUCUGGGGGGUUCCAGGAAGUAUGUGGCCCUUUCCUUGAUAGGUCACCAUAUCUAGAAGUCCUUAGUAUCUACUAUAGUAGGAUGGUCGCUGUGACAAGCUGACUAGUUGCUUGGCACUCCAAGAAGUUUCACAAGCACACCAGAUCCAGAGAUAUGGUGGACAAAACUCAUGUUGUCAACCAAAGGGAAAAGAAAACAAGGUUGCUGAAACCCUUGAGAACUGAGGCCUAAGGGUCACAUCAGAGACUGCGCAGACAUAAACAGUUAAAUUCAGGACACACUGUGGGCCGGCUAGGCUGCUGCAGAACAGCGGCUUAUACAAACCAUGAGUACAAACAUAUUUACUCAUGCAUACAUAGAUCCAUGCAUACACACUCACUCGUACAUACCUCAUGCACACCUACAUAUACAUUUGCACACAUACACAAACACAUAUACACACACAUGUGCAUACACAUGUAUACAUAUGCACACACAUGCACACAUAUGCCCACACAGGUACACACAUGUAUACACAAACACACACACACAACCUAUAUAUUUAUCUACACAUAAUGUAUUCACUACUACACAUAACAUUACAAAGCAGUAAAAUAAAUAUGAACUAAAACAGGCUGUAAGAAAAGGCAUAUACAAGUAGGAGAUUCUGGUUCCUUCCAAUACCCUUGUUCAGGGUCACAGGGCUUCCCUAUGGAAAACAGAGAUGGAUAAGCUACCCAGUCACACUCAGAAUGCUUCCUCGCUAGAAAUUAUUGUUUGUGGGUGAUUCAGAUGCACGUGGGCAUCUUUUUAUUUGCUAAAUCUGGCAAAGCUCAGGGGUCAGUAAAUGCUCUCGUUAAUACAGAAAAGGCCGCAGUAAAUAUUCCAGGCUUUUGCUGGCCUAUCUUUGCCACCCACUGAACUAAUUCAUCGUCAUGUGAAGGAGCACUAGGCAGUCCCUACAUAAGUAAGCUAUCUCUGUUUCAAUAAAACUUUAUUUACAGAACCAAGAACAUGUGGAUACUAAGCACAGCCUGCAGCUGUGGCGCCCCUGCCCUAGGGAUAACAAAGGUACAGCCCAUGUGAAAGACGACUCCUGGUCUGUAAGACACAGCGCCUGUACUUACAUGUCUACAGUAAUAUGGCCUUACACUGAAAAAAAAAAAGGUGGGGGGUUGAUGGAUAUUUUGUGCUUUCUGUAGGGUUUCAAGUCAGGGCCUGUAAAUAGACAGAGAAUGAUAAUAACUUCAUUUAAAACUGGGGAGGUUGAGAUGGGAAACGAGGCUAUCUAGCCUCACAUAUACAUGUACAUAUGCAUACACAUGCAUUCAUGCACACACACUUCAUGCAUACACGCAUAUACAUGUGCACAUAUACACAAACACAUAUGUAUACACGUGUGCAUACAUAUCACACACUUGCACACAUAAGCACACACAUACACACGUAGCCCCACACAGGUGUACACAUACCACACACACAAAUACACACAUACACAUCUAAACUAUGUGCUCUGGUGGAGUAGCCUUUAUUGUGUCAAAUUAAAAGCUUCCCCUUCCUCAAUUACUAGCAAUUCAAUCGGCCAAUUGGCAGCCAUAACACAUUAACCUUUCUGCCAAAUCAAUUUCACCAAGUCCCCUUCCAGCACUCAGAGAAAUUAAAUGGCACCCCUAUGCCUGUGAGGAGGGGCACACUGUCUGCACUGCCUAUUCUAGCUUCCCGUCCUCACCUGGAACUCUUAGCACAGUUCCUGACCAGGGUCCUUCUCCUUAGCAGAAUGCCAGGAGCCUGCCUUGAGUCGUUUCCCGUAUCCUACAACCAGCUGGGUACAAAGGCCCAAGGCAGUGGAUGCUGCCAACCACUAUCCACAGCGCAGGCCUCACAAACCUCACAGCCCUGUUGGUUUUGCUUGAGAUAAAACCAAAGUCUUGCUGUCACAAGUCCAGGUGAUGAAUACAUUCACCUGGACACUGAACCAACCCGCUGCUGAAGUCACACGGGUGUCAUGGGAGACGCCAGAUCCAGCCCUUCCUGCCACCUCUGGCUGGGGGCACCUGGGCUGGCUUCCUAAGAAUGGGAGGUCAAGCCUACAAGUGAUGGCACACACCUUUGAUCCCAGCACUUGGGAGGCAGAGGCAGGUGGAUCUCUGAGUUCGAGGCUAUCCUGGUCUACAGAGCAAGUUCCAGGUCAGCCAGGGCUACAAAGAGGAACUGUGCCUCAAAACAAAAUAAAACAAAACAAAACAAAACAAAGCAAAACAAAACGAAUGGGAAGUCUCAGAAGAUAAUAAGGCUGUUUUCUAGCUUUGCCAUGCUGGCUGCCUAGGGAUCAGGUGCAGACAUAGCAACAUGCUAUGUUAAAACCAACAUAUGCUAAAUUAAAACCAACCACAAUAAUAAAAAAAAAAAA